This is a transfer RNA of 80 nucleotides. It matches the Rfam family "tRNA". Rfam says of the family: Transfer RNA (tRNA) molecules are approximately 80 nucleotides in length. Their secondary structure includes four short double-helical elements and three loops (D, anti-codon, and T loops). Further hydrogen bonds mediate the characteristic L-shaped molecular structure. tRNAs have two regions of fundamental functional importance: the anti-codon, which is responsible for specific mRNA codon recognition, and the 3' end, to which the tRNAs corresponding amino acid is attached (by aminoacyl-tRNA synthetases). tRNAs cope with the degeneracy of the genetic code in two manners: having more than one tRNA (with a specific anti-codon) for a particular amino acid; and 'wobble' base-pairing, i.e. permitting non-standard base-pairing at the 3rd anti-codon position. The record is from Rfam.
GGCUUCUUGGUGUAAUGGUAACACAUUCCUCCCCAAGUGCUUUGGGUGGAAGACUGGUGGUUCGAUUCCCUCAGAGGCUA